AGGACGAACGCUGGCGGCGUGCUUAACACAUGCAAGUCGAGCGGUAAGGCCUUUCGGGGUACACGAGCGGCGAACGGGUGAGUAACACGUGGGUGAUCUGCCCUGCACUUCGGGAUAAGCCUGGGAAACUGGGUCUAAUACCGGAUAUGACCUCCUAUCGCAUGGUGGGUGGUGGAAAGAUUUAUCGGUGCAGGAUGGGCCCGCGGCCUAUCAGCUUGUUGGUGGGGUAAUGGCCUACCAAGGCGACGACGGGUAGCCGACCUGAGAGGGUGACCGGCCACACUGGGACUGAGACACGGCCCAGACUCCUACGGGAGGCAGCAGUGGGAAUAUGCACAGUGGGCGAAAGCCUGAUGCAGCGACGCGCGUGAGGAUGACGGCCUCGGGUUGUAAACCGUCUUUCAGCAGGACGAAGCGCAAGUGACGUACCUGCAGAAGAAGCACCGGCUAACUACGUGCCAGCAGCCGC
RNAcentral lists this ribosomal RNA (469 nucleotides) under uncultured soil bacterium. RNAcentral describes it as "bacterial SSU rRNA". It matches the Rfam family "Bacterial small subunit ribosomal RNA", at positions 26 to 518 of the family's 1533-position model. The record is from RNAcentral.